GUGGAGAUGAACAUUAUGUUGGAGAGCUCCUUGAAUGCAAAGGAGAAAAUAAUCUCUGAGUUGAAUAUGGAGCUUCAUAACAUGGAAUCCACAUUAUUAAAGGGGAGGGAGCAGCAUUUGAAUGAGAUAAAGAAGUUGAAUGCACUAAUCAAUGAAAAGGAUAGUACUCGAUGGA
Zingiber officinale is the source of this 175-nucleotide long non-coding RNA. RefSeq lists it as uncharacterized. The transcript has 3 exons. Lineage: Eukaryota; Viridiplantae; Streptophyta; Magnoliopsida; Zingiberales; Zingiberaceae. The record is from RefSeq and is a predicted model, not a curated record.